This is a non-coding RNA of Cyanistes caeruleus (blue tit), 1313 nucleotides long. The record is from RefSeq and is a predicted model, not a curated record. NCBI's taxonomy places the organism in Eukaryota, Metazoa, Chordata, Aves, Passeriformes, Paridae.
UGCUGUCAGGGGCACUGAAUGUGCUGGCUGUUGUAGCAGGACUGAGAUGAGUGCUGAGAUUUGACCUGCCACCCCGCUCCUCCUGUUGUAAACAAAAAAGUCUUUUGGGGAAAUUCUCACAGUACAGUGGAGAAAGCACUAGAUAUAUCAACAUGAAUGUGAACAGUCAGCAUUCAUCAGGGAAGAUACUGAAUAAAAUUACAACCUUCAGAAAUCUUCUAAUCAGCCUUUGAGCAUCCUGCUUUGGAGGUGAGGGGAGGCUCAUGGCCAUGCUGAGGGCAGGCAGGAGCAAAAGAAAUCAUGUUUCAAAGUUUUAUGAUAAACCUCUAAAAUACAUAAUUGUAUUUUAUUUGGUGUUGAUACAUAUAGUCCAUCCAACUUUUGCAUUCUCCUCCAAGGAACAUUGUUCCUUAGCAUUUGGAAAAUUGUCCCUUCUUGCUCACCUUCUCUCCCCAGAUUCAUAUGUGGGUAAAUUUUGUCAGGAUGAACAUGAGAUUGCCUUCCUUAGGGACUCAGUACAACAUUGUGUGUUCCCUUCUGGCUCUUGGAUGAGAAGUGUUUUAUUUAUGUAGGUAAUUUUUCAUAACAGAUAAACAAGUCAAAUCAAUCCCAGUGAAAUUUCUAAAGGCAGUGAGUGGAACCACUUCAUUCAGCCUGAAUCUCACUAAAGAAGUGAGUGCAAAACCUGGUAGGGCACUUUUGUUGGAAUUACUCCUCCAGUGAUCUUCACACAGUUCAGAGGCUGUGAUUUCAGAUGGAAAGAAUGAUUACUCAAAGGGUUCCUUCUGUAAAUAUGUUUUGUUGAGGAAAAAAGUAAUCUGAGCCAGGGAAAAAGCCUUCAAUGUAGAGUAGGUAAUAACAGCAGGAUGCUCCUCUGUUUCUUCAAUCCUCCUUCAUGUUUCUUUGGCUUAUAGAACUUUAUUUCCUGUUUAUGAAAUGGCUGUAUUCUUAUUGUGUAGAAUAUACUUAACAGUGUGAAAUUCAAAGAAAUACAAUGUUUUAUGCUCUUAACUUCCUCCAUAGGCUGUUUCUUUAACAAUGUGUCAUAGAGUUAAAAUAUUAGUAUGCAAGACUUUGAAGCUGAAGAGGCAGAGAAUUUUGGAAGCAAAGUUUAUACAACUCUGAAGACACUGGAGACACUUAGAAUAUGUAUUGAAUAAUCAUGUCGAUAGGCACAAGAUCCUGAGCUGUAGUGGGAUUGAUUUUUACUAAGCACAAAUAAUCUCUGAUUGUGAUACUAAAAUAAACAAAUAAACUGCUGUAUUACCACAUUGUUUCACAAAGAAAUGGGAGUUGCAAGAAAAAAAGUCUAA